This 300-nucleotide long non-coding RNA is filed under the name Ananas comosus (pineapple). RNAcentral's name for it is "long non-coding RNA (ACOM_LNC022172)". The record is from RNAcentral. Lineage: Eukaryota; Viridiplantae; Streptophyta; Magnoliopsida; Poales; Bromeliaceae.
UUUAAAAUUUAAACUUCAACAUUUUAUAUUCUAAAUUUAAAUUUAAAUUUUAAAUAAUAAAAUAUUUUAAAAUUUAAAUAUUUAAUUAUUUAUUUUGAUUUUUCUUCGUAAAUUUUUCGCUGCGAAGCGCCGGCCUUCACUCGUCUAUAUUUAUUUUAUUUUUCAAAAUAAUCUAAUUUUUAUUUAAAUAUAAAAUUAGUCUAAACCGUUCUUAUUUAUAAUCGAACCAAGCGCAACCUAACGGCUUUCUUCUCUCCCAAAAACCCUAAUAAAACCUAAUCUCCUCUCCCCGACUCCGUC